GCAUAUCAAAUAAGCGGAGGAAAAGAAACCAACAGGGAUUGCCUUAGUAGCGGCGAGUGAAGCGGCAAAAGCUCAAAUUUGAAAUCUGGCACUUUCAGUGUCCGAGUUGUAAUUUGAAGAAGGUAUCUUUGGGUCUGGCUCUUGUCUAUGUUUCUUGGAACAGAACGUCACAGAGGGUGAGAAUCCCGUGCGAUGAGAUGUCCCAGACCUAUGUAAAGUUCCUUCGAAGAGUCGAGUUGUUUGGGAAUGCAGCUCUAAGUGGGUGGUAAAUUCCAUCUAAAGCUAAAUAUUGGCGAGAGACCGAUAGCGAACAAGUACAGUGAUGGAAAGAUGAAAAGAACUUUGAAAAGAGAGUGAAAAAGUACGUGAAAUUGUUGAAAGGGAAGGGCUUGAGAUCAGACUUGGUAUUUUGUAUGUUACUCUCUCGGGGGUGGCCUCUACAGUUUACCGGGCCAGCAUCAGUUUGAGCGGUAGGAUAAGUGCAAAGAAAUGUGGCACUGCUUCGGUAGUGUGUUAUAGUCUUUGUCGAUACUGCCAGCUUAGACUGAGGACUGCGGCUUCGGCCUAGGAUGUUGGCAUAAUGAUCUUAAGUCGCCCGUCUUGAAA
RNAcentral lists this ribosomal RNA (606 nucleotides) under Lodderomyces parapsilosis. RNAcentral's name for it is "eukaryotic LSU rRNA". It matches the Rfam family "Eukaryotic large subunit ribosomal RNA", at positions 38 to 659 of the family's 3401-position model. Lineage: Eukaryota; Fungi; Ascomycota; Pichiomycetes; Serinales; Debaryomycetaceae. The record is from RNAcentral.